Molecule: ribosomal RNA, 497 nt
Filed under: uncultured bacterium
Lineage: Bacteria
Description: partial 16S ribosomal RNA
Rfam family: Bacterial small subunit ribosomal RNA
Source: RNAcentral
GAGGAAAGAGGGAGGCGUGCCUAAUACAUGCAAGUCGAGCGAACAGACGAGGAGCUUGCUCCUCUGACGUUAGCGGCGGACGGGUGAGUAACACGUGGAUAACCUACCUAUAAGACUGGGAUAACUUCGGGAAACCGGAUCUAAUACCGGAUAAUAUAUUGAACCGCAUGGUUCAAUAGUGAAAGACGGUUUUGCUGUCACUUAUAGAUGGAUCCGCGCCGCAUUAGCUAGUUGGUAAGGUAACGGCUUACCAAGGCAACGAUGCGUAGCCGACCUGAGAGGGUGAUCGGCCACACUGGAACUGAGACACGGUCCAGACUCCUACGGGAGGCAGCAGUAGGGAAUCUUACGCAAUGGGCGAAAGCCUGACGGAGCAACGCCGCGUGAGUGAUGAAGGUCUUCGGAUCGUAAAACUCUGUUAUUAGGGAAGAACAAAUGUGUAAGUAAAUAUGCACGUAUUGACGGUACCUAAUCAGAAAGCCACGGCUAACUACGUG